Molecule: ribosomal RNA, 460 nt
Filed under: uncultured bacterium
Lineage: Bacteria
Description: partial 16S ribosomal RNA
Rfam family: Bacterial small subunit ribosomal RNA
Source: RNAcentral
CCUACGGGAGGCAGCAGUGAGGAAUAUUGGUCAAUGGACGCAAGUCUGAACCAGCCAUGCCGCGUGCAGGAAGACUGCUCUAUGAGUUGUAAACUUCUUUUGUACGAGGGUAAACGCAGAUACGCGUAUCUUUCUGUAAGUAUCUUACGAAUAAGGAUCGUCUAACUCCGUGCCAGCAGCCGCGGUAAUACGGAGGAUCCAAGCGUUCUCCGGAUUUAUUGGGUUUAAAGGGUGCUUAGGCGGUAGGUUAAGUUAGUGGUGAAAGCCCGAGGCUCAACUGUGGAAUUGCAUUUGAUACUGUCCGGCUAGAGAGUAGUUGCGGUAGGCGGAAUGCAUGGUGUAGCGGUGAAAUGCUUAGAGAUCAUACAGAACACCGAUUGCGAAGGCAGCUUACCAAGCUACUACUGACGUUGAGGCACGAAAGCGUGGGGAGCAAACAGGAUUAGAUACCCGGGUAGUC